AGCAAGCUGUGCGGAGAAAAUAAAAUGGACCGACUUGGAAGAGAGGGCCUUCCGAGACUUGAAGACAACCCUCUCUUCUCAACCCGUCUUACAGGUGCCAGACUUCAAUAAACCUUUCAUGGUACAAACUGAUGCUUCAGACACUGGAAUUGGAGCCAUACUCUCGCAAGAAAUUGAAGGACUGGAGCACCCUAUUCUGUAUAUCAGCCAUCGCCUGAGGUCGGGGCUGAUCUCAGGGGAAGGGAAUGUAAGAGGACAAGCUGACCCGCUAUUGGGAAAAGCCUAUGCAGCGAAACAAGGAGACACAGGUGAACUUCAUCGGGAAACAGGAUAUAAAUGCCCCAGAAGCGAUGAGCCGGGGCGGAAGCCGAUAAGGUGAAAGCGUUUCAGAGGAAGGAGAGAUUUAGGAGUGUGCUGGAAGGAAUUUAAGAAUAAAGGACUAUUGGAUACGG
Molecule: non-coding RNA, 452 nt
Organism: Lepisosteus oculatus (spotted gar)
Lineage: Eukaryota; Metazoa; Chordata; Actinopteri; Semionotiformes; Lepisosteidae
Source: RefSeq, a predicted model, not a curated record